GUCUGUUAUUGAUUACUUUAUAAAUGGGAAUCUCUCUGAAAGAAAAUGAACAUUAAUUUUAACCUGAUACAGUA
Molecule: small nucleolar RNA, 74 nt
Organism: Oryctolagus cuniculus (rabbit)
Lineage: Eukaryota; Metazoa; Chordata; Mammalia; Lagomorpha; Leporidae
Gene: SNORD79
Rfam family: Small nucleolar RNA SNORD79
About the family: snoRNA U79 or Z22 is found in intron 7 of the gas5 gene in humans and is also present in mice. U79 is a member of the C/D class of snoRNA which contain C (UGAUGA) and D (CUGA) box motifs.
Source: Ensembl